Molecule: ribosomal RNA, 1125 nt
Filed under: Bacillus altitudinis
Lineage: Bacteria; Bacillati; Bacillota; Bacilli; Caryophanales; Bacillaceae
Description: bacterial SSU rRNA
Rfam family: Bacterial small subunit ribosomal RNA
Source: RNAcentral
AUACAUGCAGUCGAGCGGACAGAAGGGAGCUUGCUCCCGGAUGUUAGCGGCGGACGGGUGAGUAACACGUGGGUAACCUGCCUGUAAGACUGGGAUAACUCCGGGAAACCGGAGCUAAUACCGGAUAGUUCCUUGAACCGCAUGGUUCAAGGAUGAAAGACGGUUUCGGCUGUCACUUACAGAUGGACCCGCGGCGCAUUAGCUAGUUGGUGAGGUAACGGCUCACCAAGGCGACGAUGCGUAGCCGACCUGAGAGGGUGAUCGGCCACACUGGGACUGAGACACGGCCCAGACUCCUACGGGAGGCAGCAGUAGGGAAUCUUCCGCAAUGGACGAAAGUCUGACGGAGCAACGCCGCGUGAGUGAUGAAGGUUUUCGGAUCGUAAAGCUCUGUUGUUAGGGAAGAACAAGUGCAAGAGUAACUGCUUGCACCUUGACGGUACCUAACCAGAAAGCCACGGCUAACUACGUGCCAGCAGCCGCGGUAAUACGUAGGUGGCAAGCGUUGUCCGGAAUUAUUGGGCGUAAAGGGCUCGCAGGCGGUUUCUUAAGUCUGAUGUGAAAGCCCCCGGCUCAACCGGGGAGGGUCAUUGGAAACUGGGAAACUUGAGUGCAGAAGAGGAGAGUGGAAUUCCACGUGUAGCGGUGAAAUGCGUAGAGAUGUGGAGGAACACCAGUGGCGAAGGCGACUCUCUGGUCUGUAACUGACGCUGAGGAGCGAAAGCGUGGGGAGCGAACAGGAUUAGAUACCCUGGUAGUCCACGCCGUAAACGAUGAGUGCUAAGUGUUAGGGGGUUUCCGCCCCUUAGUGCUGCAGCUAACGCAUUAAGCACUCCGCCUGGGGAGUACGGUCGCAAGACUGAAACUCAAAGGAAUUGACGGGGGCCCGCACAAGCGGUGGAGCAUGUGGUUUAAUUCGAAGCAACGCGAAGAACCUUACCAGGUCUUGACAUCCUCUGACAACCCUAGAGAUAGGGCUUUCCCUUCGGGGACAGAGUGACAGGUGGUGCAUGGUUGUCGUCAGCUCGUGUCGUGAGAUGUUGGGUUAAGUCCCGCAACGAGCGCAACCCUUGAUCUUAGUUGCCAGCAUUCAGUUGGGCACUCUAAGGUGACUGCCGGUGACAA